AGGACUAUAGUUUAAUGGUAAAACACGGUCUUGAUAAGACCGCUAGUGGAGGUUCGAUUCCUUCUAGUCCUA
Molecule: transfer RNA, 72 nt
Filed under: Linnemannia gamsii
Lineage: Eukaryota; Fungi; Mortierellomycota; Mortierellomycetes; Mortierellales; Mortierellaceae
Also listed under: 5 other names
Description: Mortierella gamsii tRNA
Rfam family: tRNA
About the family: Transfer RNA (tRNA) molecules are approximately 80 nucleotides in length.
Source: Rfam by way of RNAcentral